This is a non-coding RNA of Parasteatoda tepidariorum (common house spider), 285 nucleotides long. The record is from RefSeq and is a predicted model, not a curated record. NCBI's taxonomy places the organism in Eukaryota, Metazoa, Arthropoda, Arachnida, Araneae, Theridiidae.
CAUUAAAAGCUCAACAUAAAAACUGUAUUUAUUAUUAUAUUCGUGUUGAGAGCAAAAAAAAAAUUUUGUUUUAAAUAAUAUUCCACAUAAGUGGAACAAAUAUGAAAAAGAAAAACACAGUUGUUAUUGAUUUAAGUAUACAUGCGUUUGAAGGCCACUGAGUGUGCGCAUGUUUGUUUUAUUGAUGUUAAAAUAAGUUUGGGUUCUUGAAUUUAAUUUUAAAUUCAAGUAAAUGUUAAACUAAAGGAAACAUCAAGAAUAUAAUAGAAAUAUGGAAAAUAUAGG